Humulus lupulus (European hop) is the source of this 704-nucleotide long non-coding RNA. RefSeq lists it as uncharacterized. Lineage: Eukaryota; Viridiplantae; Streptophyta; Magnoliopsida; Rosales; Cannabaceae. The record is from RefSeq and is a predicted model, not a curated record. The transcript is spliced from 7 exons.
CUAUUACAGCUUAAGCAAAAGAUUGCUUCAGCCACCUCAGCCAUCAAAUCUGUUUUUGGCCAAGAACAGCCCAAGCAGGAUGCGACUGACAAACUGGAGCGACUAAGGGAGAGGAUGAUCAAAGUGCAGGAGAUUUUUCGGGACAUUGAUUCAACAGAAUUUGUUAUUGUAACAAUUCCCACGAGCAAGACAUCAACUGUUUGUGAGCUCAUUUGGUUCUCAGUACAAGGCUUGACGUUUGAAGUUGUCUUGUGAUUAUCAACUGAUCUGUUGGAUUUACUUUCUGUGGAGCACAUUUGAUGUUUGAAGUCGUCUUAUGAUUGUGAAGAAUUUACAAGCAUGGUGAAAGUGGGAAAGGUUGUGAUGGCAGAAGUACAGCUCCUCCAUGCACUGGGUACAAAAGGUCUUAACUUCAGCCCGAAUUUGUGAUCAUCAAGUGUUUGUUUUCUGAUUUAUGCUGGUGUGAUAUUCUGUGUUUGAAGUUUAAGUCAUAAAGGGUCUUGCCGAUCAUGACCUUAUUGUUAUGGAAUUCCCUCUGUCCAUUAUAGAGGCCAGCAAGGAGACUACUAUAUCUUAGUCAUGGACAUGCUUGGCCCAAGUUUAUGGGAUCUUUGGAACACUAAUAACCAAAUGUUGUCUGAAGAUACAGUUGCUUGUAUAGCAGUGGAGGCUAUAUCAAUUAUAGAACAACUUCAUUUCAAAGG